ACACGCACGCACACAGCGCCGCUCGGACACACACACGCAGCAGCGCCGCGUACCUCCUCGCAAACGCCCGCGCCCGCCGCCGCCGCGGCUUGGCCCCGCCUCCCGUGCCAGAUCCUCUCCGGUGACGGCCCCCUCCUGCGGCGGCCCCCUCCAGCAGCGACGGGGUGCCUCCGGUGCCAACGUCCCCUCCGGCAAUGGAGUUGCAGAGCCCCCUUCGGGACGGCCCCCUUCAGUGACGGAGUGCCUCCGGUGGCAGCAUCCCCUACGGCGACGGAGCGCCUCCAGUGGCAGCACCCUCUCCUACGUCAGCCAUCGGUGGUGUAGCAGCCAUGCAGGGGACUUGUUAGGUCGCUGGAACCGGGUGCGGUGGCCACGGUGACAAGACUCCUCCAGGAAGAGUGACCGGCGAGGCUGCAAUCCCCAGCAACCCAACCCCACGGAUGCAUGGCUUUGAGGCACCAUGGGCCGGCGAGUUCUCUAUAAGGUGCGUCCCAUCUCAGGUGCUUAUAACCAGUGCACUAAUUGAAGGCACUAAGUUAAGUGAAGCCGUGUGAUGCAUUUGAAGGGAUGACAGUGAUGAUAUCGAGGACGAGGAUGAUAUUGAUGAUGUGUGAUGCAUUUGAAGGAAAAUAAUUUUGGCCCCUAGGUUGAAAUAAAAUAAUUUUGGCUAGUUGACCUUGAGCUAUGUAUGUGCUGACUGCUGGAACUUAUGUUAGUUGGCUAUAACUUAUGAAGUAUUGUAUUUUAUUAAUGUAAUUGUGUUGGAGACUUUGUAAUAUGCUUGGAGUGCAAGUGGUGGACACUUUGUGAUAUGUCUGGACUGAAAUUAGUUGAAUAUAUGAAUGUAUUGAAAUCUGAUUUGGAUU
Molecule: long non-coding RNA, 866 nt
Organism: Sorghum bicolor (sorghum)
Lineage: Eukaryota; Viridiplantae; Streptophyta; Magnoliopsida; Poales; Poaceae
Exons: 4
Source: RefSeq, a predicted model, not a curated record